RNAcentral lists this long non-coding RNA (2374 nucleotides) under Mus musculus (house mouse). RNAcentral's name for it is "long non-coding RNA chr19:22092689-22095063". The record is from RNAcentral. Lineage: Eukaryota; Metazoa; Chordata; Mammalia; Rodentia; Muridae.
AAAGGGCUAAUUUAUACAACAAUAUUUUCUUAGUGUUUGCAUCACUAUGAGAAAACUGUCUUUUUUCUUUCAAAGGUAGCAAGCUCACCAAGGACUAUAAAUUCUAUAAAUCUCUCCCAUCUUAUAAAAUGGUUAUGAGAAGGAAUUAAAACCUUUUAAUCUCCCCAACUUGGUAAAACUUUAUAUAUAAAGGUAUUGCUGUGCUUGCAGAACUCGAUGGGCUUGCGAAUUGGAUCUCUUCCUCCAUUUCCUUUAGAUCACUUUCCAAAUUAGCCAGGGGGUGGGUGGUUAACUAUGAUUAACCCUUCACCAAUGUUCCUCACCAAUGAGGAACAGCCAAGCUUCCCUUUGUACUAGGGAUAAAACCACAGAGGCCAUUUGGUCAUAUGUGUUACUUGCUAGCCCAGGUUGGGUCUUGGAGCACCCUUUAGGAAAAAUAAAUCAUCUCUUGGCCUUUUUUUUUUUUUUGCUUUGUUCACACAAGACUUCCAUAUAUGCUGUGCAAGUAUUCUAACACUGAACGAUGUGUCUGAUUUUUAGUUUGUUGUAAAUUGCCUUAAUUGGGCAUUUUGAUUUGCAUUAAAUUAUACAUUAAUAUUCCUUUUUGAAAAAGAUUUAAUUUUGUGUGUAUGGGUAUUUUGUGUGUACCCAUUAUUCUGUGGACCAGGAAUUACAAAUGGUUAUUAGCCGCUGUGGGUUCUAGGAACUGAACCUGGGUCCUCUGCAAAAGCAAUACCUGCUCUUAUCUAGAUGAGCCAUCUCUUCAGCCCCACAUUUAUAUUGCAUUUUGAACAUUAAAACUUGAAGUCCUUACUGUUUUACUGUACUGGAAAGCAUGCUAUAAUAUGCUAUGGUAAUCCUGCCUUUCAAACUUUUCAGUAGGUUAACAAUAUGGUAUAUCAUAUUAAUAUUAGCCUCACAGUACAGCAUUAAAGACUAGAUAUGCACAUUUUAUUUGCUGGGUUUUCCUUUAUUGUUAUUGUUUGUUUGUUUUGUUUUGUUUUGUUUUUUGAGAUUAGGGUUUCAUUUGUAGGCUUGCUUUGAAUUGAUGACUGUUUUCCUGCCUCAGCCUCCAGAGAGCUGAGAUUAUAGAUUGGUGCCUCCAUAUCUACCUUGUCUUAGCUUCUCAUGUAUUUUCUACUGAUUGGACACAUUGUUACAAAUCAUAUAAACUUAAAAAAGAUCACCAUUGGUGCUAUCUAAAAGGUUUCUAAAGCUCUUUGUUUGCUUCAGUGUGAGCCCUUUCCCCUUUCACCUUGUGGAAGUAUGCUUAUUUUUUUCUUUCCCCUUCACAUAUUUACCAUGGCAACCUGGAUAAGCUCCUGGACUUACAACUCACAAUAGGACCUGUUCCUUUCACCUGUCACUGUGCCUCUAAAGAUUUUUUUUUUUAACUCUCAGGCUGUCUCUACCCAACCUCUAGCAAUUUUUCAUUACUAUUUUGGUUUGACUACCCUCAGCGCAUGGUUCUCCAUGACCUCCUUGCCAUUCCCGGCAGAUCUUCACAUUCCCUAGACUCCUGCUGUCUCCACUCUGCUCGUCCUGACUUCUCUGAGCUAAAUAGUAUUGCUGCAGAGAACAGGGGUGCUCGGUGAGGGGUAUGUUUGGACAGGAGGAGAUAAGGAAGGCCUGAGACAUCAGGAACAGAUUCUGAAGUCAGACUUGGGGAGGAUUCUGUGGUCAUCAGAACAGGACUGCUGUGAGCAGCACGCAGCUGUCAAAUCAUUCGGAGGUGAUAUCUCUUGGCCUUCCUUAAUUUUGGGUAUCUUUAACUGAGUGGGAGAAAAGUUGUUAGAUCUUUCACAUUGCCCCUACAAACAUCCAAAAGUUGAUUUUUUUUUUUUAAAUAUUUUCUUCUAGUAGUGUGUCAAACUGGGGGAAAGUAUUGUUCAGAGUGAUUGGAGAAUAUAAUCUUUCCUUUAGAAGUUUGACUCACAGCCAACAGCAAGUGGAUGUUAUAGAUAAAAGGGAGUGUGAUUAGUAACAAGGCAAAAAAUAUACUCUUUCCUAGGUGAUAACUUCCAAGCCCACCUAUGUUAGUUAUGUUUUCUUAUGAAUGCAGUGGGCUAUAAGAUUAUAUGAGCAACCUAUAGGAAUUAUGGAGCCCACUUGUGGAAAUAUCAUCCCAAUCAAACAAAGGGCCUUCCUCAAGUUCUCCGAAGAGAAUGGGCAAGAAUUUUUCAAAGAUAAAUCUAAUUCAUGAAACAAACUAACAAACAAACAAUCUUAUCUUUAGAGCUGGAAGGGCCCUUAAAGCUUACCUGUCCGUUAAUUCAGUGAUGUGGACAAGCCCAGAGAUAUUAGGGAUGUUGACAAGCUUGCAGUUAGAUAUGCCACUAGGGUUGGGCUGGAAUCCAGGGUUCCAAAGAUUUCU